This 1852-nucleotide long non-coding RNA is filed under the name Salmo salar (Atlantic salmon). Its description in RNAcentral is "lncRNA (ENSSSAG00000103053.1)". Lineage: Eukaryota; Metazoa; Chordata; Actinopteri; Salmoniformes; Salmonidae. The record is from RNAcentral.
GUAAGAAACGAGACGUGCAUUAUUUUCAUUUGAUUGCAUUUCACCAGCCAGCUAUUUUGAGUCAUCAAUGCUAAACGUGAGCUAGCGGAUUUGAGCAUUGUUUGAAAACACUAAAUCAUCCAGCUAGCUAGCUAAUUAUUGUAUCGCUUGACAGAUUACAAAAGUAUAUAACGUUAACUAAUGAUUUACAAACGCAUGCCAGGAUCCGUAACGUUUAGAAUGUGAUCCACUUGAGCCCAAAGAGUGGAGUCUGGAGAGAAAGCGUUGAGAGAAUUGACACAGGUUUAGCAAGUCUGUUAGUAACACAUGUUUAGCUAACCAGACAGCCCCAUGGAUGUCUCGCCUCAAUGAACAUCUGGCUGCAUCGGAUAUUGGGCCCAGCUGAGAUCAGAUGUUGACCCCCUACAGGCCCUUCAAUAUGCAUGACUGUCUCCCCUCCUCCACCGUCCAACCCCCACUAAACAGCUGAAUACAGCCAGCUAGUCUACAAUCCCACUGCAGUAAUGCCCAUGGCAUGAUACACAUCCAGAUAAUAAUACAGUAAUAGAGUUGUGUUACUAAGACGUGUAUCAUCACUUCGUCUAGUUUGCUCUGAGCCUUUUCAAGUAUUGGGGACAAAGUCACUGACCAGAUCACACAUGAUUUGGAUAGUCCAUCUGUAGAUGGUGUACAGAUGGUCAUUACUAUCAACAAACUAUCUGUUGAUAAGCAACUGCUUGCGAAGUUUAGGUUUACAAUAAGGGUUAGGUCUAGGUUUAGGAUAAGGGUUAGGUUUAGAAUAAGGGUUAGGGCUAGGUUUAGGAUAAGGGUUAGGUUUAGGAUAAGGGUUAAGUUCAGGGUUAGGAUAAAGGUUAGGGUUAGGUUUAGAAUAAGGGUUAGGGCUAGGUUUAGGAUAAGGGUUAAGUUCAGGGCUAGGAUAAAGGUUAGGUUUAGAAUAAGGGUUAGGGCUAGGUUUAGGAUAAGGGUUAAGUUCAGGGUUAGGAUAAGGGUUACUGUUAGGGUUAGUAGAUAGUUUAAAUGUUACUGAUAGUCUCUAGAGCAUAUACAGACGGAUGAUCCAAAGACCAAUUAGUGGGAAAAUAUCAUAAUUGGUUUGCCUGUGUGAACGCAGCGAUAUAGAUACAGUCAAUCAACUGGAAGGAGCUAGUUGAGGAACAGGAUGUGCCACUGGCUAUUUGCAUAGCCAACACCAACUCUUUAUCAUGUUGACAGAUUCAGAUCUGUAGUAGAGACAAAUCACCACAGACACUGUAGACUAACAAUAGACAUUCUGUGUACAUCACAUGUACAUCCACACUGGUGGAUCCUUGUUAGGUGAUGAUGACUAACGUUAUAGUGAUGUAUUUGGGGUAGCCUAGUAGUACAUUGGUAGCCUGGUCCCAGAUCUGUUGUCUCCUUCUAUAGCCUGGUCCCAGAUCUGUUGUCUCCUUCUAUAGCCUGGUCCCAGAUCUGUUGUCUCCUUCUAUAGCCUGGUCCCAGAUCUGUUGUCUCCUUCUAUAGCCUGGUCCCAGAUCUGUUGUAUCCUCCUAUAGCCUGGUCCCAGAUCUGUUGUCUCCUUCUAUAGCCUGGUCCCAUAUCUGUUGUCUCCUUCUAUAGCCUGGUCCCAGAUCUGUUGUCUCCUUCUAUAGCCUGGUCCCAGAUCUGUUGUCUCCUCCUAUAGCCUGGUCCCAGAUCUGUUGUCUCCUUCUAUAGCCUGGUCCCAGAUCUGUUGUCUCCUUCUAUAGCCUGGUCCCAGAUCUGUUGUCUCCUUCUAUAGCCUGGUCCCAGAUCUGUUGUCUCCUUCUAUAGCCUGGUCUCAGAUCUGUUGUCUCCUUCUAUAGCCUGGUCUCAGAUCUGUUGUCUCCUUCUAUAG